Molecule: ribosomal RNA, 213 nt
Filed under: Clostridioides difficile
Lineage: Bacteria; Bacillati; Bacillota; Clostridia; Peptostreptococcales; Peptostreptococcaceae
Description: partial 23S ribosomal RNA
Rfam family: Bacterial large subunit ribosomal RNA
Source: RNAcentral
AGCGAAAUUCCUUGUCGGGUAAGUUCCGACCCGCACGAAAGGCGUAACGAUUUGGGCACUGUCUCAACAACAGACUCGGUGAAAUUGUAAUUCCGGUGAAGAUGCCGGAUACCUGCGACAGGACGGACAGACCCCAUGGAGCUUUACUGUAGCUUGACAUUGGGUCUUGGUACUACAUGUACAGGAUAGGUGGGAGGCUUUGAAACCAGGACG